CCUACGGGUGGCAGCAGUGAGGAAUAUUGGUCAAUGGACGAGAGUCUGAACCAGCAAAGUCGCGUGAAGGAUGACUGCCCUCUGGGUUGUAAACUUCUUUUAUAUGGGAAUAAAAUGUUACACGUGUGGGGUUUUGUAUGUACCAUAUGAAUAAGGAUCGGCUAACUCGAUGCCAGCAGCCGCGGUAAUACGGCGGAUCCGAUCGUUAUCCGGAUGUAUUGGGUUUAAAGGGAGCGUAGGUGGAUAGUUAAGUCAGUUGUGAAAGUCUUGGGCUCAACCGUGAAAUUGCAGUUGAAACUGGCAGUCGUGAGUACAGUAGAGGUGGGCGGAAUUCGUGGUGUAGCGGUGAAAUGCGUAGAUAUCACGAAGAACUCCGAUUGCGAAGGCAGUUCACUGGACUGCAACUGACACUGAGGCUCGAAAGUGUGGGUAUCAAACAGGAUUAGAUACCCCGGUAGUC
This 460-nucleotide ribosomal RNA is filed under the name uncultured bacterium. RNAcentral's name for it is "partial 16S ribosomal RNA". It matches the Rfam family "Bacterial small subunit ribosomal RNA", at positions 338 to 795 of the family's 1533-position model. The record is from RNAcentral.